AGCAGUAGCCGCGGUAAUACAGAGGGUGCGAGCGUUAAUCGGAUUUACUGGGCGUAAAGCGUGCGUAGGCGGCUUCUUAAGUCGGAUGUGAAAUCCCUGAGCUUAACUUAGGAAUUGCAUUCGAUACUGGGAAGCUAGAGUAUGGGAGAGGAUGGUAGAAUUCCAGGUGUAGCGGUGAAAUGCGUAGAGAUCUGGAGGAAUACCGAUGGCGAAGGCAGCCAUCUGGCCUAAUACUGACGCUGAGGUACGAAAGCAUGGGGAGCAAACAGGAUUAGAUACCCCCGUAGUCCCUGUCUCUAUACA
This 303-nucleotide ribosomal RNA is filed under the name uncultured bacterium. Its description in RNAcentral is "partial 16S ribosomal RNA". It matches the Rfam family "Bacterial small subunit ribosomal RNA", at positions 507 to 808 of the family's 1533-position model. The record is from RNAcentral.